CUGACGACGCCGGUUGACAGGCUACUUCUUUGGCAGCGUUGCAAUGCGGCGGCCGGAGGGAUGAGAAAGUUGCAUCGAUUGUGAGCAUCACAAUUCCCUGAAACGCGAGGACAGAUUACUCACAAUGGCAUAUGUUAGAGAGCCGAUAAUGAUCGUCAUGUAUCGUCCCAAGUGAGCAUCCGCAACGUACGCACCCAGCAGCGGAGUGAUGUUGUUCAAGCCAUUGAAGUUAGUCAGAGUCACAGCCGCCUGAACAUUGCUCAUGUUGAGCUGUUGCACGAGGCACAGAAGAACAGUUUGGAGUGAGCCAACGAGACAAGUGUUUACUGUUAUAUUUGUGCCUGAUCACGUGUUUUCUGCAGGGGCUUUGGGA
Long non-coding RNA from Selaginella moellendorffii, 373 nucleotides. RefSeq lists it as uncharacterized. The record is from RefSeq and is a predicted model, not a curated record. The transcript is spliced from 3 exons. NCBI's taxonomy places the organism in Eukaryota, Viridiplantae, Streptophyta, Lycopodiopsida, Selaginellales, Selaginellaceae.